UGGCUCUGUGGGUAGAGUGUUUGUUUUGUGAUCAGAAGGUUGUUGGUUCGAUUCCAGC
Poecilia formosa (Amazon molly) is the source of this 58-nucleotide non-coding RNA. The record is from Rfam. NCBI's taxonomy places the organism in Eukaryota, Metazoa, Chordata, Actinopteri, Cyprinodontiformes, Poeciliidae.